AAUAAAUUUACCAUUAUCGGCGUGCAGUCGACGUCAGCUACUAUUAGAGGCGUCACAACAACUGUUUGCAUAAUUGUAAUUAUCUACCAUAUACAUAUGUACAU
Molecule: long non-coding RNA, 104 nt
Organism: Bactrocera tryoni
Lineage: Eukaryota; Metazoa; Arthropoda; Insecta; Diptera; Tephritidae
Exons: 3
Source: RefSeq, a predicted model, not a curated record